GAUGAACGCUGGCGGCGUGCCUAAUACAUGCAAGUCGAGCGAACGGACGAGAAGCUUGCUUCUCUGAUGUUAGCGGCGGACGGGUGAGUAACACGUGGAUAACCUACCUAUAAGACUGGGAUAACUUCGGGAAACCGGAGCUAAUACCGGAUAAUAUUUUGAACCGCAUGGUUCAAAAGUGAACGACGGUCUUGCUGUCACUUAUAGAUGUAUCCGCGCUGCAUUAGCUAGUUGGUAAGGUAACGGCUUACCAAGGCAACGAUGCAUAGCCGACCUGAGAGGGUGAUCGGCCACACUGGAACUGAGACACGGUCCAGACUCCUACGGGAGGCAGCAGUAGGGAAUCUUCCGCAAUGGGCGAAAGCCUGACGGAGCAACGCCGCGUGAGUGAUGAAGGUCUUCGGAUCGUAAAACUCUGUUAUUAGGGAAUAACAUAUGUGUAAGUAACUGCGCACAUCUUGACGGUACCUAAUCAGAAAGCCACGGCUAACUACGUG
Molecule: ribosomal RNA, 497 nt
Filed under: uncultured bacterium
Lineage: Bacteria
Description: partial 16S ribosomal RNA
Rfam family: Bacterial small subunit ribosomal RNA
Source: RNAcentral